CUAGGAGAUAACAUGGGGGUGUUCCUCAUCAGAGGAUACCUAGGAGAUAACAUGGGGGGGUGGAUGGGGGUAGAGUGCAUAUGUCAUACAUUUUGGCAAAGCUUUCAUGUACAGUACAAAUGUUUGUGUAUGUGUGUGUGUGUGUGUGUAUGUGUGUGUGGGUUGGGGGGAUUGUGUGUGUGUGGGUUGGGGGGGUAACUCUUUGAAGGACUCAUUCUGUUUUAUUAAAAGGAGAGGUUGACCUGUUAUCACCGUUCUAGAGACUACAUCCUGUCAAUCUAUUAAAGGAGAGGUUUCUGUCAAUCUAUUAAAGGAGAGGUUUCUGUCAAUCUAUUAAAGGAGAGAUUUCAGGGACCUGUUAUCACCGUUCUAGAGACUACAUCCUGUUAAUCUAUUAAAGGAGAGGUUUCAGGGACCUGUUAUCACUGUUCUAGAGACUACAUCCUGUUAAUCUAUUAAAGGAGAGGUUUCUGUCAAUAUAUUAAAGGAGAGGUUUCUGUCAAUCUAUUAAAGGAGAGGUUUCUGUCAAUCUAUUAAAGGAGAGGUUUC
Molecule: long non-coding RNA, 549 nt
Organism: Oncorhynchus tshawytscha (Chinook salmon)
Lineage: Eukaryota; Metazoa; Chordata; Actinopteri; Salmoniformes; Salmonidae
Source: Ensembl